GUGAAACUCAAGUAGAAUGUGACACGAAGUAGCUUUACUGUGAAGAUGAACCACUUGAAGCUUUUGGGAUUUUGGAGGGCAAAUGCUACCAGAGAAGCCAUACGAGUUCUAAUGCUUUAAAAUUGUGCAGACUGAAGUAAUAUGAGGUCUAUCAUCAUGGUUCAGUACUAAACUCUUCAUUUGAUGGGUUAUUGAGGGUUGACCUUAAAGUUGGAUCAACUUAGAUACUGGAUGAGCAAUUUUGUAGAGGUUCCUUGACUUUAAUCUUUUUUAUUUAUUGGGUACAUCCGGAUGUAAUUAGUUUGUAACUUAAUCAAUCAGCUGUGUUCCACUUGGCAUUUUUUCGCAAGCUUGUCAAGAUUUUAUACACGGCAACUAGGAAUUGCUUCUUUUUCUAAUCCUCGGUCCAUGUAAUUGAAUAUAUACAUUAGUAGGGACUAGGGGUGUCAAUGGUUCGGUUCGGUCGGCCAUUUGCAAAAAUUUAUACCAUACCAAUUUUUCGGUUACUCUACUAUAUAUAAUCAAAAUUAAACUUUUGAAAAC
Molecule: long non-coding RNA, 543 nt
Organism: Lycium ferocissimum
Lineage: Eukaryota; Viridiplantae; Streptophyta; Magnoliopsida; Solanales; Solanaceae
Exons: 2
Source: RefSeq, a predicted model, not a curated record